UACGUAGGGUGCGAGCGUUAAUCGGAAUUACUGGGCGUAAAGCGUGCGUAGGCGGUUUCAUAAGCUUGAUGUGAAAGCCCCGGGCUCAACCUGGGAAUGGCAUUGAGGACUGUGGAGCUAGAGUGCGGCAGAGGGAGGUGGAAUUCCACGUGUAGCAGUGAAAUGCGUAGAGAUGUGGAGGAACACCGAUGGCGAAGGCAGCCUCCUGGGCCGACACUGACGCUGAGGGCACGAAAGCGUGGGGAGCAAGCAGG
RNAcentral lists this ribosomal RNA (254 nucleotides) under uncultured bacterium. Its description in RNAcentral is "partial 16S ribosomal RNA". It matches the Rfam family "Bacterial small subunit ribosomal RNA", at positions 524 to 776 of the family's 1533-position model. The record is from RNAcentral.